UACGUAGGGGGCAAGCGUUGUCCGGAAUUAUUGGGCGUAAAGAGCGUGUAGGCGGUCCGGUAAGUCAGCUGUGAAAGUCAAGGGCUCAACCCUUGAAAGCCGGUUGAUACUGUCGGGCUAGAGUCCGGAAGAGGCGAGCGGAAUUCCUGGUGUAGCGGUGAAAUGCGCAGAUAUCAGGAAGAACACCCGUGGCGAAGGCGGCUCUCUGGGACGGUACUGACGCUGAGACGCGAAAGCGUGGGGAGCGAACAGG
This 253-nucleotide ribosomal RNA is filed under the name uncultured bacterium. RNAcentral describes it as "partial 16S ribosomal RNA". It matches the Rfam family "Bacterial small subunit ribosomal RNA", at positions 524 to 776 of the family's 1533-position model. The record is from RNAcentral.